RNAcentral lists this ribosomal RNA (520 nucleotides) under uncultured bacterium. RNAcentral describes it as "bacterial SSU rRNA". It matches the Rfam family "Bacterial small subunit ribosomal RNA", at positions 120 to 674 of the family's 1533-position model. The record is from RNAcentral.
GGGAAUCUGCCCUUAGGUUCGGAAUAACCAUUGGGAACGAUGGCUAAUACCGGAUGAUGACGUAAGUCCAAAGAUUUAUCGCCUGAGGAUGAGCCCGCGUAGGAUUAGCUAGUUGGUGUGGUAAGAGCGCACCAAGGCGACGAUCCUUAGCUGGUCUGAGAGGAUGAUCAGCCACACUGGGACUGAGACACGGCCCAGACUCCUACGGGAGGCAGCAGUGGGGAAUAUUGGACAAUGGGCGAAAGCCUGAUCCAGCAAUGCCGCGUGAGUGAUGAAGGCCUUAGGGUUGUAAAGCUCUUUUACCCGGGAUGAUAAUGACAGUACCGGGAGAAUAAGCUCCGGCUAACUCCGUGCCAGCAGCCGCGGUAAUACGGAGGGAGCUAGCGUUGUUCGGAAUUACUGGGCGUAAAGCGCACGUAGGCGGCUUUGUAAGUUAGAGGUGAAAGCCUGGAGCUCAACUCCAGAAUUGCCUUUAAGACUGCAUCGCUUGAAUCCAGGAGAGGUGAGUGGAAUUCCGAGU